Small nuclear RNA from Meriones unguiculatus (Mongolian gerbil), 109 nucleotides. The record is from Ensembl. Lineage: Eukaryota; Metazoa; Chordata; Mammalia; Rodentia; Muridae.
GUGCUCAAUUCAGCAGCACAUAUACUGGAAUUGGAACAAUACAGAGAAGAUUAGCAUGUCAUCCCUGCGUAAGGAUGACACUCAGAGUCAUGAACCAUUUCAUAUUUAA